RNAcentral lists this transfer RNA (70 nucleotides) under Bufo stejnegeri (Korean water toad). RNAcentral describes it as "tRNA-Trp". It matches the Rfam family "tRNA". From Rfam's summary of the family: Transfer RNA (tRNA) molecules are approximately 80 nucleotides in length. Their secondary structure includes four short double-helical elements and three loops (D, anti-codon, and T loops). Lineage: Eukaryota; Metazoa; Chordata; Amphibia; Anura; Bufonidae. The record is from RNAcentral.
AGAAACUUAGGAUAAUUUAGACCAGAGGCCUUCAAAGCCCCAAGUAGAAGUUAAAAUCUUCUAGUUUCUG